CACCAUUUCAAUUAACAAGCUGUGAAGAACCACAUUGUGAGUUACAAAAUGUUGCCAAAGCACCAUAAAUAUCAGGACGAUGUGAAAAAUAACCAACCAUCAACCAUCAUUCUCAUCAACAAUCGGGGUUUGGAAUAUACAUGUCCAGUGCUAUUUUGAACUAUCUCGGCCCUACAAAAUAACUACAAAACAUAGUCACCAUCACAUUGUCGAUAAAAUGGAGAAUGUGGUUGUCUAUACCAUUACCGAUAUCACUAUCGACAAUAUCAGCAUAGUUGGCACAAAAAUAUUUGCAUCUGAUAUUGUUACCCCGCAGAAUUUUGCAUGUUUUCCACAAAAAGGGGGGAUUGAACUCUAAUUGACAAUGGUGAUGCAAAGAGGAAUUUGUUGGUGAACAGAGAGAAGCCACUUCACGUCAUCAUCAGUCGUAAUCUUUACUGGUGCAACAGGCACGUGUGUCAUGCCAGGGACAACAAAUCUCAUCUCCAUAUUGUAUAAAGUGGUAUCGACAAUAAGGAGUUCCCGCACUCUAUCAUACAACUCCGUGUAUGAAAUAAUUCUUGAAACAACAAGAGAUUUCGUUUCUUUUCCACUCCAAGACCAUCCAUCUUGUUCAUUUUUCUUAAAUUCACCAAAAUAGGAAAUAACUAAUCGGAACUCGGAACUCAUACCUGGAAUUUAUUGAAAAUCGUCAAAGUUUAGCAAAAGACACAAAAAUCUCCACAUAUAUUUUUG
This 735-nucleotide long non-coding RNA is filed under the name Olea europaea subsp. europaea. The record is from RNAcentral. Lineage: Eukaryota; Viridiplantae; Streptophyta; Magnoliopsida; Lamiales; Oleaceae.